CCCUUGGGAAAGACGGCGGUUUGAAUUUUCUUUUCCUUGAAGUCGGGGAAACGCCCACUGGGGGAGCGAGGAAGUUACAGUAAUGAGAAAGUUCUUCUUCAGGAUGAAAAAAGAGAACUUUUUCUUUUAGUUUUGGGGCGGCGGAAUUUAAAACUCCUGAUUUAAGCUACGGUCCCAAAUAGAUUCCUCCAAAGGAGGAGUUCCCUUAUAAAUUGCUUGUUUGAGGCUACAGUCCUAGAUGAAAUUAUUUAAGAAUAAAUCCUGUUGAGCCUCCGAGGGGAUGAUCUACAGGAUUGCAAAGUAACUCCCGAGCGGCAGCACAACUGAAGCAACAUUUUUCAUUGAUCUAUCUACCAUAAGCUCAAGAUCACUUUCAUGCAGGUAUGUGGGCAGCCAUUUAUACCUCAAGCCAGUUCCUUGUUUUCAACUUUGCUUUCUGUUACUCUU
Molecule: long non-coding RNA, 447 nt
Organism: Candoia aspera
Lineage: Eukaryota; Metazoa; Chordata; Lepidosauria; Squamata; Candoiidae
Exons: 3
Source: RefSeq, a predicted model, not a curated record